AAAAGGUCACAUUUUCUGUACUGUCUACAAGAUCAAUAAAGUAUAACAUCCCAACCGUACCCAAAGCCAUGUUUCCCUGGAGCAGUGUCACAAGACAGGUUCUCUCGAGAUCCUUGACUAGGAAUGUCAAUGUUGCCAGGAGCCAAUCUACUGCUGUGAUGGCAGCUCAUGAGAACAUGUUCAGUGCUCACGCGAAGCUGUUUUUCACCGGAGCCAUCAUGUACACACCGGGAAUCCUCAUUAUGGUCCUGAGACCAAAGCCAAAGGAAGAGUAAUUAUACUGAAACACGGGAAGAACAAUCUGUAAUAAAACAUAGGACUUUAGAGGUAUCUUCAUUAUUUAUCAAUUGUGGCAUUGUGUGCCUUUAGAAGUAUCUUCAUUAUUUAUAUUAUAUUUAUCAAUUGUGGUUUUGCUUUGUGUGUAUACGUUCAGAAACUCGUACCUAGCCAUGCAGUUGCCUCAGAAAUUCCACUUCAGCAUAUAAUUAUUAUUGAGAUA
Long non-coding RNA from Halichondria panicea, 499 nucleotides. RefSeq lists it as uncharacterized. The transcript has 2 exons. The record is from RefSeq and is a predicted model, not a curated record. Lineage: Eukaryota; Metazoa; Porifera; Demospongiae; Suberitida; Halichondriidae.